AGUGAACGCUGGCGGUAGGCCUAACACAUGCAAGUCGAACGGCAGCACAGUAAGAGCUUGCUCUUACGGGUGGCGAGUGGCGGACGGGUGAGGAAUACAUCGGAAUCUACUUUUUCGUGGGGGAUAACGUAGGGAAACUUACGCUAAUACCGCAUACGACCUACGGGUGAAAGCAGGGGAUCUUCGGACCUUGCGCGAUUGAAUGAGCCGAUGUCGGAUUAGCUAGUUGGCGGGGUAAAGGCCCACCAAGGCGACGAUCCGUAGCUGGUCUGAGAGGAUGAUCAGCCACACUGGAACUGAGACACGGUCCAGACUCCUACGGGAGGCAGCAGUGGGGAAUAUUGGACAAUGGGCGCAAGCCUGAUCCAGCCACACCGCGUGGGUGAAGAAGGCCUUCGGGUUGUAAAGCCCUUUUGUUGGGAAAGAAAAGCAGCAGGUUAAUACCUCGCUGUUCUGACGGUACCCAAAGAAUAAGCACCGGCUAACUUCGUG
Molecule: ribosomal RNA, 492 nt
Filed under: uncultured bacterium
Lineage: Bacteria
Description: partial 16S ribosomal RNA
Rfam family: Bacterial small subunit ribosomal RNA
Source: RNAcentral